UGUGUCGUCAGUGAGUGUGUAUGUGUGGUCAGUGAGUGUGUGUCGGUCAGUGAGUGUGUGUCGGUCAGUGAGUGUGUGUCGGUCAGUGAGUGUGUAGGUCAGUGAGUGUGUAUGUGUCGGUCAGUGAGUGUGUGUCGGUCAGUGAGUGUGUGUCGGUCAGUGAGUGUGUGUCAGUCAGUGUGUAUGUGUCGGUCAGUGGAGUCGUGCAUCUUUCAGUGAGUGCUUGCGUC
Pelobates cultripes (western spadefoot toad) is the source of this 230-nucleotide non-coding RNA. The record is from the annotation of a GenBank genome assembly. Lineage: Eukaryota; Metazoa; Chordata; Amphibia; Anura; Pelobatidae.